UACGGAGGGUGCAAGCGUUAAUCGGAAUUACUGGGCGUAAAGCGCGCGUAGGCGGUUGGGAAAGUUGGAUGUGAAAGCCCUGGGCUUAACCUGGGAAUUGCAUCCAAAACUACCCGGCUAGAGUGCAGCAGAGGAUGGUGGAAUUCCCGGUGUAGCGGUGAAAUGCGUAGAUAUCGGGAGGAACAUCAGUGGCGAAGGCGACUGUCUGGGCUGACACUGACGCUGAGGUGCGAAAGCGUGGGGAGCAAACAGG
Molecule: ribosomal RNA, 253 nt
Filed under: uncultured bacterium
Lineage: Bacteria
Also listed under: 1 other name
Description: partial 16S ribosomal RNA
Rfam family: Bacterial small subunit ribosomal RNA
Source: RNAcentral